RNAcentral lists this unclassified non-coding RNA (343 nucleotides) under soil metagenome. RNAcentral describes it as "partial contains 5.8S ribosomal RNA, internal transcribed spacer 2, and large subunit ribosomal RNA". The stretch from base 1 to 120 matches the Rfam family "5.8S ribosomal RNA", at positions 35 to 154 of the family's 154-position model. The record is from RNAcentral.
GAUGAAGAACGCAGUGAAAUGGGAUAAGUAAUGUGAAUUGCAGAAUUCAGUGAAUCAUCGAAUCUUUGAACGCACAUUGCGCCCGCUAGUAUUCUGGCGGGCAUGCCUGUCCGAGCGUCAUUUCAACCCUCAAGCCCCCGGGCUUGGUGUUGGGGAUCGGCGAGCCUCCGCGCCCGCCGUCCCCUAAAUCUAGUGGCGGUCUCGCUGUAGCUUCCUCUGCGUAGUAGCACACCUCGCACUGGGAAACAGCGCGGCCACGCCGUUAAACCCCCAACUUCUGAACGUUUGACCUCGGAUCAGGCAGGAAUACCCGCUGAACUUAAGCAUAUCAAUAAGCGGAGGA